RNAcentral lists this ribosomal RNA (253 nucleotides) under uncultured bacterium. RNAcentral describes it as "partial 16S ribosomal RNA". It matches the Rfam family "Bacterial small subunit ribosomal RNA", at positions 524 to 776 of the family's 1533-position model. The record is from RNAcentral.
UACGAAGGGGGCUAGCGUUGUUCGGAAUCACUGGGCGUAAAGGGUGCGUAGGCGGAUUUUUAAGUCAGGGGUGAAAUCCCGAGGCUCAACCUCGGAACUGCCUUUGAUACUGGGGAUCUUGAGUCCGGAAGAGGUGAGUGGAACUGCGAGUGUAGAGGUGAAAUUCGUAGAUAUUCGCAAGAACACCAGUGGCGAAGGCGGCUCACUGGUCCGGAACUGACGCUGAGGCACGACAGCGUGGGGAGCAAACAGG